AACGAACGCUGGCGGCAUGCCUAACACAUGCAAGUCGAACGAGACCUUCGGGUCUAGUGGCGCACGGGUGCGUAACGCGUGGGAAUCUGCCCUUGGGUUCGGAAUAACAGCGAGAAAUUGCUGCUAAUACCGGAUGAUGACGUAAGUCCAAAGAUUUAUCGCCCAAGGAUGAGCCCGCGUAGGAUUAGCUAGUUGGUGAGGUAAAGGCUCACCAAGGCGACGAUCCUUAGCUGGUCUGAGAGGAUGAUCAGCCACACUGGGACUGAGACACGGCCCAGACUCCUACGGGAGGCAGCAGUGGGGAAUAUUGGACAAUGGGCGAAAGCCUGAUCCAGCAAUGCCGCGUGAGUGAUGAAGGCCUUAGGGUUGUAAAGCUCUUUUACCCGGGAUGAUAAUGACAGUACCGGGAGAAUAAGCCCCGGCUAAACUCCGUGCCAGCAGCCGCGGU
Molecule: ribosomal RNA, 448 nt
Filed under: uncultured bacterium
Lineage: Bacteria
Description: bacterial SSU rRNA
Rfam family: Bacterial small subunit ribosomal RNA
Source: RNAcentral